This 826-nucleotide long non-coding RNA is filed under the name Scleropages formosus (Asian bonytongue). RNAcentral's name for it is "lncRNA (ENSSFOG00015030549.1)". Lineage: Eukaryota; Metazoa; Chordata; Actinopteri; Osteoglossiformes; Osteoglossidae. The record is from RNAcentral.
CGGAUGCAGAGGAAGGACGUGCAGCAGCGAAGCACGACUUCUGAAGCGACAUUUUCUGCAUAAGGUUCAAAGGGCGCACACGCGUUUGCAGGCGACCCUCCUGGCUGAUUCCUGGGCCCGCUUAGAGCACCCAUCACUCUGGGGGAACUGUCUGAGCUGCUAUCCAGAAUGAACUGGAGGAAAGACCAAGGUUUAUUCCACAUUUUGGAAUGUCCUGGGCCCUGUCUUCCUCGAGGCUGUGGAAGAAGUGCUGACCCGAGGUAUGUCAUUGGAGUGCCUGAUGACCAUGUGCCUGACAGCUACCCAACCAGAACUGUGAAGGCCCUACAACAUUCCUGGGUUUACCAUCUUCUAUAGGAGAUUCAUCAGCGGUUUCAGCCCCAUCGCCGUCCACCUCACGGCCCUCAUGGCAGGUAAGGAGACUCGUUUGAUUCUGAGUGAACAGGCGCAGUGAGCUUUCAGUAACCUGAAGAACCGCUUCAUGACAGUGCCUAUAUGGUGUCUUGCUAUUACUAAAGAAAUCAUAAAUUCCUUGUUGUGUCGGAAAAUUUCAAAAGAGAAUGUCAGGCCAUCCAUCAGUUAAAGCUGAAGGACAUGCUGUCACGCCCUCCACUGCACCCCUAACAAGGACACCUGAGGCUAAUCAGGACGGGAGAACCUCCAAGACUUCCACGAUAUCGACCUAUUGUUUCAUCCUUCAAGACCAUGUCCCUGGAUUCGCUUCCCCAAACAAUGUGUACGAAUCUACCGGACUGUUCUUCUUUCUCUGAGCACGAUACUUGCCUUGUUCCUCCAGCUCACAAUAAAGAUCCUGUGCUUGGGUUCA